This 218-nucleotide long non-coding RNA is filed under the name Prunus persica (peach). RNAcentral describes it as "long non-coding RNA (PPER_LNC003033)". Lineage: Eukaryota; Viridiplantae; Streptophyta; Magnoliopsida; Rosales; Rosaceae. The record is from RNAcentral.
CCCGAGGUUGCUUUUAAAAGCUGUUGUCAAAAGACCAUUGCUUUUAAAAUAAGCAGGAUAUUUUAUUUUUACCAAACACCUUAAACUGUUUAACUUUAAAGUUAAGCAGGUUUUUGGCCAAAAAAAACAGUCCCAAAUGGGGCCUAACCCAUUCUUUAUUCAAAUUAAAAACAAAACUGAAAGCAUAAAAUAUAAAUGGCUAAACUGGAGCCUACCCA